This 262-nucleotide ribosomal RNA is filed under the name uncultured bacterium. Its description in RNAcentral is "partial 16S ribosomal RNA". It matches the Rfam family "Bacterial small subunit ribosomal RNA", at positions 28 to 294 of the family's 1533-position model. The record is from RNAcentral.
GACGAACGCUGGCGGCGUGCUUAACACAUGCAAGUCGAACGAUGAAGCCUUUCGGGGUGGAUUAGUGGCGAACGGGUGAGUAACACGUGGGCAAUCUGCCCUGUACUUUGGGAUAAGCCUUGGAAACGGGGUCUAAUACCGGAUAUCACUUACCUCCGCAUGGGGGUUUGUUGAAAGUUCUGGCGGUACAGGAUGAGCCCGCGGCCUAUCAGCUUGUUGGUGGGGUAGUGGCCUACCAAGGCGACGACGGGUAGCCGGCCUG